AUGAUUGAGGUGUUUGCUGACAUCCGUUCCAGUGACCCUGGGUUCACCUAUGUGGUGUUGUCCAACAAGUCAAGCAAGGUGAAAAAUCUGGCGUGGGCUAAUGGGAGCAGCCGAAUGCAGUACAAGUUCUUUAGUGAUGUGGUCACAUUUGACACUACAUACUGGACAAACCUGUAUGACAUGCCAUUUGGGUUAUUCGUGGGAGUUAACAAUCACUAUCAAAGCAUUAUUCUGGCAGUGGUGUUGAUGCGUGAUGAGCAAGAAGAGAGCUUCGUAUGGGUGUUUGAAGAAUUUUUGCGUAUGAUGGGCGGCCCUGCCCUGAAAACAAUACUCACAGGAAGCUGGAGAUGGAAAGGAAACAAGUCAACAAUUGUUUGUUUGGCACACCAUCAUUAUGAAUUACAUAGGCACACAACGUAG
Molecule: ribosomal RNA, 420 nt
Filed under: Triticum aestivum (bread wheat)
Lineage: Eukaryota; Viridiplantae; Streptophyta; Magnoliopsida; Poales; Poaceae
Description: partial small subunit ribosomal RNA
Source: RNAcentral